RNAcentral lists this ribosomal RNA (418 nucleotides) under uncultured prokaryote. Its description in RNAcentral is "bacterial SSU rRNA". It matches the Rfam family "Archaeal small subunit ribosomal RNA", at positions 455 to 873 of the family's 1478-position model. The record is from RNAcentral.
GUGUCAGCCGCCGCGGUAAUACCAGCUCUCCGAGUGGUGGGGACGUUUAUUGGGCCUGAAGCAUCCGUAGCCAGCUGAGCAAGUCCCCAGUUAAAUCCAGCGAUUUAAUCGUUGGACUGCUGGGGAUACUGUCCGGCUAGGGGGUGGGAGAGGCCGACGGUAUUCCCGGGGUAGGGGUGAAAUCCUAUAAUCCCGGGAGGACCACCAGUGGCGAAGGCUGUUGGCUAGAACAUGCCCGACGGUGAGGGAUGAAAGCUGGGGGAGCGAACCGGAUUAGAUACCCGGGUAGUCCCAGCUGUAAACGAUGCAGGCUAGGUGUUAGGGCGGCCACGUGCCGCUCUAGUGCCGCAGGGAAGCUGUUAAGCCUGCCGCCUGGGGAGUACGGCCGCAAGGCUGAAACUUAAAUGAAUUGACGGGG